Leopardus geoffroyi (Geoffroy's cat) is the source of this 362-nucleotide long non-coding RNA. RefSeq lists it as uncharacterized. NCBI's taxonomy places the organism in Eukaryota, Metazoa, Chordata, Mammalia, Carnivora, Felidae. The record is from RefSeq and is a predicted model, not a curated record. The transcript has 2 exons.
AGCGCCCCGAGGUGGCUGGACUGAUGCAAGGGUUCAGCCAAUGUCUGCAGGAGGACAGGAGGAGGGGAACCAGCCCUGCUUGCCGUGGGCAGCAGACCCGGGGGCGAACAUUCCAGAAACAGGCUGCAUGCGUUCCGAGGGGAAAGCCCCAAGGGACAGGAAAGGCUGCGGGCCGUCCCGCGCGGAGGAGACACCAGGACCAGCCGGGGAACGGUGCCCGAGCUGCAGGAGAUCCACGAGGAGCCGAUCGGAACCAGCCUUCACUCCGGCCGCGUUUCCAGGGAAGCUGGGGGUGGCAAACCUGGGAAUUCUGGGGACUUCUGUGAGCUUGAAACCAUUUCAAAAUGAAACGUUAAAAAGCA